RNAcentral lists this ribosomal RNA (253 nucleotides) under uncultured bacterium. Its description in RNAcentral is "partial 16S ribosomal RNA". It matches the Rfam family "Bacterial small subunit ribosomal RNA", at positions 524 to 776 of the family's 1533-position model. The record is from RNAcentral.
UACAGGGGGGGCAAGCGUUGUUCGGAAUUACUGGGCGUAAAGGGCUCGUAGGUGGCCAACUAAGUCAAACGUGAAAUCCCUCGGCUUAACCGGGGAACUGCGUCUGAUACUGGAUGGCUUGAGUUUGGGAGAGGGAUGCGGAAUUCCAGGUGUAGCGGUGAAAUGCGUAGAUAUCUGGAGGAACACCGGUGGCGAAGGCGGCAUCCUGGACCAACACUGACACUGAGGAGCGAAAGCCAGGGGAGCAAACGGG